RNAcentral lists this ribosomal RNA (721 nucleotides) under Listeria monocytogenes. RNAcentral describes it as "bacterial SSU rRNA". It matches the Rfam family "Bacterial small subunit ribosomal RNA", at positions 820 to 1533 of the family's 1533-position model. The record is from RNAcentral. Lineage: Bacteria; Bacillati; Bacillota; Bacilli; Caryophanales; Listeriaceae.
GUGUUAGGGGGUUUCCGCCCCUUAGUGCUGCAGCUAACGCAUUAAGCACUCCGCCUGGGGAGUACGACCGCAAGGUUGAAACUCAAAGGAAUUGACGGGGGCCCGCACAAGCGGUGGAGCAUGUGGUUUAAUUCGAAGCAACGCGAAGAACCUUACCAGGUCUUGACAUCCUUUGACCACUCUGGAGACAGAGCUUUCCCUUCGGGGACAAAGUGACAGGUGGUGCAUGGUUGUCGUCAGCUCGUGUCGUGAGAUGUUGGGUUAAGUCCCGCAACGAGCGCAACCCUUGAUUUUAGUUGCCAGCAUUUAGUUGGGCACUCUAAAGUGACUGCCGGUGCAAGCCGGAGGAAGGUGGGGAUGACGUCAAAUCAUCAUGCCCCUUAUGACCUGGGCUACACACGUGCUACAAUGGAUAGUACAAAGGGUCGCGAAGCCGCGAGGUGGAGCUAAUCCCAUAAAACUAUUCUCAGUUCGGAUUGUAGGCUGCAACUCGCCUACAUGAAGCCGGAAUCGCUAGUAAUCGUGGAUCAGCAUGCCACGGUGAAUACGUUCCCGGGCCUUGUACACACCGCCCGUCACACCACGAGAGUUUGUAACACCCGAAGUCGGUAGGGUAACCUUUAUGGAGCCAGCCGCCGAAGGUGGGACAGAUAAUUGGGGUGAAGUCGUAACAAGGUAGCCGUAUCGGAAGGUGCGGCUGGAUCACCUCCUUUCUAAGGAA